RNAcentral lists this long non-coding RNA (271 nucleotides) under Mytilus galloprovincialis (Mediterranean mussel). The record is from RNAcentral. Lineage: Eukaryota; Metazoa; Mollusca; Bivalvia; Mytilida; Mytilidae.
GAUACUUAUAAGAUUGUGGCUUAAAGAAAUAAAUAUUUUCUAGAAAACCAAGUGGUCAGUAUAACAUCAUGAGCAUAUGAAAUCUGGUUGAUCUAUGAAAAUAUUUUUUUGACAUUGUUUAUAACAUGAUCAAAACGGGAAAUAACUCUAUCUCAGACUACACCAAUGGAAAUUAAUCUUAAAACCAUAAAAACAGCAAAAACAAAAACUAACAACAUUUAUAAUUUUCAUUCAGCGAACAAUAUAAAUAUUCAAUCGGAUAUAUACAAAG